Anolis carolinensis (green anole) is the source of this 118-nucleotide non-coding RNA. NCBI's taxonomy places the organism in Eukaryota, Metazoa, Chordata, Lepidosauria, Squamata, Anolidae. The record is from Rfam.
AUAGAUCCCCUGAAAUACCUUACAAGCACAAAGUCCAGUCUGAUCUUGGAAGCUAAGCAAGGUCAACUGGAGUUAGGACUUGGAUGGGAGACCACCAAUGAAUCUCAGGUGCUGUAUU